Catharus ustulatus (Swainson's thrush) is the source of this 283-nucleotide long non-coding RNA. RefSeq lists it as uncharacterized. The record is from RefSeq and is a predicted model, not a curated record. The transcript has 3 exons. NCBI's taxonomy places the organism in Eukaryota, Metazoa, Chordata, Aves, Passeriformes, Turdidae.
UCUACCAUCUCUUGUCCCCAUAAUUCCUGGGAGAUUUUUUAUACCCCAAGCUGAGAGUACAGAGUGGGAACAGAGCAUGGCUCCCAUGCCUCCCAGGACACUGACACACUUCCCAGUGCAUCGAGGACACCUCAACAUUGGUGCCAUUUUUCCCACUGAAGUCGAGGAUCUGUUGAAGAGCUGGCUGUUAUUCUGACAGAAGUGGGAAAGGAAAUAAAGAACUAUGAACCACCAUUCUUUACCCAGAAUCUGGCCUAACCUCCAAGAACUUGCUUCUAAAUGU